AGAGUUUGAUCCUGGCUCAGGACGAACGCUGGCGGCGUGCUUAACACAUGCAAGUCGAACGGUAAGGCCCUUCGGGGUACACGAGUGGCGAACGGGUGAGUAACACGUGGGUAAUCUGCCCUGCACAUCGGGAUAAGCCUGGGAAACUGGGUCUAAUACCGAAUAGGACCACAGGACACAUGUCCUGUGGUGGAAAGCUUUUGCGGUGUGGGAUGGGCCCGCGGCCUAUCAGCUUGUUGGUGGGGUGAUGGCCUACCAAGGCGACGACGGGUAGCCGGCCUGAGAGGGUGUCCGGCCACACUGGGACUGAGAUACGGCCCAGACUCCUACGGGAGGCAGCAGUGGGGAAUAUUGCACAAUGGGCGAAAGCCUGAUGCAGCGACGCCGCGUGGGGGAUGACGGCCUUCGGGUUGUAAACCUCUUUCACCAUCGACGAAGGUCCGGGUUUUCUCGGGCUGACGGUAGGUGGAGAAGAAGCACCGGCCAACUACGUGCCAGCAGCCGCGGUAAUACGUAGGGUGCGAGCGUUGUCCGGAAUUACUGGGCGUAAAGAGCUCGUAGGUGGUUUGUCGCGUUGUUCGUGAAAUCUCACGGCUUAACUGUGAGCGUGCGGGCGAUACGGGCAGACUUGAGUACUGCAGGGGAGACUGGAAUUCUUGGUGUAGCGGUGGAAUGCGCAGAUAUCAGGAGGAACACCGGUGGCGAAGGCGGGUCUCUGGGCAGUAACUGACGCUGAGGAGCGAAAGCGUGGGGAGCGAACAGGAUUAGAUACCCUGGUAGUCC
RNAcentral lists this ribosomal RNA (783 nucleotides) under uncultured bacterium. Its description in RNAcentral is "bacterial SSU rRNA". It matches the Rfam family "Bacterial small subunit ribosomal RNA", at positions 8 to 796 of the family's 1533-position model. The record is from RNAcentral.